Panicum virgatum (switchgrass) is the source of this 1034-nucleotide long non-coding RNA. RefSeq lists it as uncharacterized. The transcript is spliced from 2 exons. The record is from RefSeq and is a predicted model, not a curated record. NCBI's taxonomy places the organism in Eukaryota, Viridiplantae, Streptophyta, Magnoliopsida, Poales, Poaceae.
CAUCAUUCUAAUAUAGAACAUGUUCAAAUAUUUGACUGUUUGGGCACUCAAAAAAAUAAAAAAACUUUCGGAACCCGUUAACCCAAAAGCGUAUUUACCACCCCACCGACACCCCAACGAUCUCGUGAUAGCACUAGAGUCACUUUCCCCUCCUCUUUCACCCCGAGCUGAGGCCCCAGGGGCGAUUUUGCCGCCGGCCGCCGUCGAUCUCGGUUCACAGGCGUCGUUUAUCGCCGGUAGGGGGGCGGUAGCCGAGCGGCAUAUGCGGGAAGCGCUCGCGCGGCUGCCGGCCUGCCGCUGGCGGCGGUAGCCGUCGGUUUAGCGGCGAAUCCCGCCGGUAGCGUGGCGAUUUUCGGUGGCGGCAGCGGGAUGCGCCGCUCGUGGUGGCGGUCCGGUAGCGGGAUCCUCUAAUACCGAGCGGUAUUCUGUGUUUUCCGAGCGGAAAUCGGCGCGUUUGGACCGGAAACCACUGCAUUGCAAAUGGUGGAUCCGGUGUGGGAGCAUGGAGAGAAGAGAGGCAAUGGAUGGAAGUGCAACUAUUGCCAUCAACAGAGGAAUGGGGGAGGAGCAACAAGGCUUAAGGAGCAUUUGGCGCAACGUGGGAAGGAUGCGAAUGACUGUCCUUCGGUCCCUCUUGAAGUGAAGACGUUUUUUAACCGUGAGCUUGACAGGAUCAGAGGAAAAAAGAUGGAAAGGGAGCGGUCAAAGAUGAGGGCCUAUGGAGCCUAUGGCGCAUAUGGGGCCUAUGGAGCCUAUACCUAUAGCUCAUAUCAACAGGAUGAGACUGAAGAAUAAACUCUAUGCGGUAUGUAUCGUGUGAACUACUAUGUAUUAUAUAUAUUGACGAUGAUGGUUUGUAAAGACUACGGUUGUGAUGAUUUGUAUGGACUAUGAUUGUGAUGACUUCUAUGGACUAUGGAUGUGAAUUUCUAUUUUUAUGGAUAUGAACUUCUAUUCUAUGUAUGUGUAAAUGUUAUAUAAAUAUUUGAUAUAUACCAUCAGCAAUGAUAUUUACAAAAUUACGGUGAAAUGCU